Molecule: ribosomal RNA, 802 nt
Filed under: Trichobilharzia sp. PYOL014
Lineage: Eukaryota; Metazoa; Platyhelminthes; Trematoda; Strigeidida; Schistosomatidae
Description: partial large subunit ribosomal RNA
Rfam family: Eukaryotic large subunit ribosomal RNA
Source: RNAcentral
GGGAAUUCAGCUGAUGAGCAUGAUUUGUGCUUGGGCAUAUUGACCGCCUUUCAGUGUCUGCUUAACUGCGGGUGCCUGCCUCUGGUGGGUAUGUGUGGUGCGCUUAUCAUGUGCCGCACGCAUUGGAGGGUGUAUGAGUCUGCUUGUCGGUGCACUUUCUCAGGGUGUUCACCACGACCGGCACUGCUGUCUGUCUGCUUUGGUCAAACUGAUCAGGUCUGAUUAACGUUGGGCUUGGUUGGGUUGGCAGGUGACUCACUGGUCCACUCUGUGGGCUAUGAGUGUUACUAGCCGGCUAUAGUGGAUCUGUACGGUGUGUCGGAGACGGCGGCUUUGCAUAUGCGCUCUGUCCUUCAGGCGUGGUUGAGUCUGGUCGACUUGUUGCUAGUUUCGGCUGGUCAGUUGAUGGCUUGAUCAUGUUCAGUUGGCAGUGGUGUGUGUGUCUUAGUUUGGGCCAAUAGUCUGUGGUGUUGUGGUAGACUAUCCACCUGACCCGUCUUGAAACACGGACCAAGGAGUUUAACAUGUGCGCGAGUCAUUGGGCUUUACGAAACCCAAAGGCGCAGUGAAGGUAAAGGUUUGGCUUGUCCAGGCUGAGGUGAGAUCCUGUUGUUUUGUUCAUUAAUUCCAAGCUGCGAGCAGCAGGCGCAUCACCGGCCCGUCCCAUGACGUAGACAUGUGGCCUUGUGCUAUGUGCACCGUCGGGGCGGAGCAAGAGCGUACAUGUUGAGACCCGAAAGAUGGUGAACUAUGCUUGCGAAGGUUGAAGCCAGAGGAAACUCUGGUGGAGGACCGUAGCGAU